GACGAACGCUGGCGGCGCGCCUAACACAUGCAAGUCGAACGAGCGAGAGAGAGCUUGCUUUCUCAAGCGAGUGGCGAACGGGUGAGUAACGCGUGAGGAACCUGCCUCAAAGAGGGGGACAACAGUUGGAAACGACUGCUAAUACCGCAUAAGCCCACGACCCGGCAUCGGGUAGAGGGAAAAGGAGCAAUCCGCUUUGAGAUGGCCUCGCGUCCGAUUAGCUAGUUGGUGAGGUAACGGCCCACCAAGGCGACGAUCGGUAGCCGGACUGAGAGGUUGAACGGCCACAUUGGGACUGAGACACGGCCCAGACUCCUACGGGAGGCAGCAGUGGGGAAUAUUGCACAAUGGGGGAAACCCCGAUGCAGCGACGCCGCGUGGAGGAAGAAGGUCUUCGGAUUGUAAACUCCUGUUGUUGAGGAAGAUAAUGACGGUACUCAACAAGGAAGUGACGGCUAACUACGUG
This 466-nucleotide ribosomal RNA is filed under the name uncultured bacterium. RNAcentral describes it as "partial 16S ribosomal RNA". It matches the Rfam family "Bacterial small subunit ribosomal RNA", at positions 28 to 507 of the family's 1533-position model. The record is from RNAcentral.